GAUGAACGCUGGCGGCGUGCCUAACACAUGCAAGUCGAACGCUGGCGUAAAGCCAACCCCCUUCGGGGGCGAGGCUUUACUGCCGGAGUGGCGGACGGGUGAGUAACGCGUGGGUAAUCUGCCCUUUGCAGGGGAAUAACUGUGAGAAAUUACAGCUAAUACCGCAUAAGCCUACGGUAUCGCAUGGUACAGUGGGAAAAGAUUUAUCGGCAAAGGAGGAGCCCGCGUCUGAUUAGCUGGUUGGUGGGGUAACGGCCCACCAAGGCGACGAUCAGUAGCCGGCCUGAGAGGGUGAACGGCCACAUUGGGACUGAGACACGGCCCAAACUCCUACGGGAGGCAGCAGUGGGGAAUAUUGCACAAUGGGGGGAACCCUGAUGCAGCAACGCCGCGUGAAGGAAGAAGGGUUUCGGCUCGUAAACUUCUAUCGACAGGGAAGAAGAAAGUGACGGUACCUGAAUAAGAAGCCCCGGCUAACUACGUGCCAGCCGCC
RNAcentral lists this ribosomal RNA (493 nucleotides) under uncultured bacterium. Its description in RNAcentral is "bacterial SSU rRNA". It matches the Rfam family "Bacterial small subunit ribosomal RNA", at positions 28 to 516 of the family's 1533-position model. The record is from RNAcentral.